Molecule: long non-coding RNA, 1458 nt
Filed under: Fukomys damarensis (Damara mole-rat)
Lineage: Eukaryota; Metazoa; Chordata; Mammalia; Rodentia; Bathyergidae
Description: lncRNA (ENSFDAG00000031511.1)
Source: RNAcentral
ACAUCAGAAUGGAAAUGAAGCCAGGUAUAACGAUACACACCUGUAAUCCAGGGGGACAGAGGCGGCACAGCCGGACUUCGGGGAGACGGGACGGACCGGCUGGACAGGUGGACCGCGCCUGCCUAGGGAGACGGACGUAGAGAGGUGGAUACAGGGAGCAGGCCGCAGACACACAGACAGACAGACAGACAGACAGACGGGAUGGGUGGGUCAGGACAGGACGGGAAGCUGCACAGAGAUGCGUGUCAGGAUGACAGGAGCACGGUGGGCAGCACGGAGGUGACGGACGGCACACGCAGGCGUGAGAGAGCCACGCGGACGGACGGACGGACGGCGGACAGACAGACGUCAGAGGACAGCCGGUGGGGAGGGUGCGGCUGCUCUUUCCCUCCCUCGCAGGCUCCUGUGGGGCGCCCAGGCCCCCGCAUCCGACAGGGAGCCGCCCACCGACCGCUCUCGUCCUCGGCCUCCCCCGGCAGCAACACCGCUCUCUGUCCCAGAUUCCUGCCAGCAAACGCCCCGGCCGCCCUGGCCCGAGUGGCCCCGGUUCUCCCUGGUGUGCAGCCUGGUGUUACUCCUGGUCGUGGCCCCGCUGCUCCUGGCGCUGUGGAAGGCACAGAGGGUGAAGAAGCUGCUCAUGCCCAGCGUGCCGGACCCCAAGGGCUCCUUUCCCGGGCUGUUCGAACACCACCAGGGGGACUUCCAGGAGUGGAUCGCCGACACCCAGGACGUGGCCCGGUGGAAGAAGCCACCGAGUGGGGACCAGGACACGGGUUCGGAGCAGACGCUGGAGGUCCAGCUGUCCGGGAUGGACACAGUACUGCCCCCGGGGACCGGGCCCCUGUCCCCACACACGAGGGAGCAGGAAGCCCCCCCGGGGUCCCCGCAGCACCCUCCCCAGGACCCCCAGGGCAGUAACGUGAUCUCCAUCGGGAGCUUCACAUUCGUGAUGACCGACGGUGCCUACAUGAAGCUGUGAACUCGGGAUCCUCCUGACUCAGCCUCCUGAGUAGCGGGGAUGGCAGGCGCGCACCCCCCCCGUCUCUCUUGUUUAAUUGUAUUUUGUGGCACUCGGGGUUGAUCCCAGGGCCCUUCCCGUGAGGGGGACACUGUUGAGGUACCCCCUGAGCUCUCUGCUUUCAUUUUGAGACCGGCUGUGCGUCUGAGUGGAUCUGGUUGACCUCCAACUCGAGACCCUCCUGCCUCUGCCUCCCGUGGGGCUGGGUCACACAUGGGCACCUCCUCUCUCCUGCCUUUUGUGUUUUUGUGUGCACAGCGGGUUAAGAACUUUUUAACCUGUUGGGUUCGCGAAACAGAUUUCUCCACGGACGUGUGAAAGCCCAGAAGCCGCCGUGCUCACGGGGCUGCAGGGAGGGCAGGCACCUGUGUCCCGCACACCGGCUGUGCUGCCGGCUGCCCAGAUUUCUAAACAAACCCGCCAACCCCGGUCUAAAACGU